GUGAGUAUAGCUCAACAGUAGAACGCAUGUUUAACAUGCACAAGGUCCUGGGUUCAAUCCCCAGUUCUUGCA
Molecule: transfer RNA, 72 nt
Filed under: Camelus bactrianus (Bactrian camel)
Lineage: Eukaryota; Metazoa; Chordata; Mammalia; Artiodactyla; Camelidae
Also listed under: 2 other names
Rfam family: tRNA
About the family: Transfer RNA (tRNA) molecules are approximately 80 nucleotides in length. Their secondary structure includes four short double-helical elements and three loops (D, anti-codon, and T loops). Further hydrogen bonds mediate the characteristic L-shaped molecular structure. tRNAs have two regions of fundamental functional importance: the anti-codon, which is responsible for specific mRNA codon recognition, and the 3' end, to which the tRNAs corresponding amino acid is attached (by aminoacyl-tRNA synthetases). tRNAs cope with the degeneracy of the genetic code in two manners: having more than one tRNA (with a specific anti-codon) for a particular amino acid; and 'wobble' base-pairing, i.e. permitting non-standard base-pairing at the 3rd anti-codon position.
Source: Rfam by way of RNAcentral